Molecule: long non-coding RNA, 1549 nt
Organism: Cyanistes caeruleus (blue tit)
Lineage: Eukaryota; Metazoa; Chordata; Aves; Passeriformes; Paridae
Source: Ensembl
AUCAGACCCUAUCAAGCAUCAUACAUCUCAACUUGGGAGCAGCCCCUGCUGUGCAUUCCAAAGCAGCACAGACCAUGGCAGCUUCUUCCUGAGUCCAACUUGGUUCCCCACUUCCGAUCUCUGCUUCAAAUUCUUUGCAGCUGACCCUAGAAGAAACGAGCCAGAAUCCCAGCUGCCCCAGAAGCAAUCCCUGGAGAGCAGGGCUGGUUAAUGGCAAACAGCUGCAGCUGUUAAUGUCUCAGGGGAUCUGAGCUUUAGCAGUGAAGGUCCAAGGUUCAUGUCCUGUUGACAGACUGUAAGAUUGAUACUGGUCAUCUCUCCUAGAAAAAUACAGUGGGGAUCACCUUCUUGAGGCUCCAGGUGCCUGGAACAAGAGGAAGCAGGUGUACAGGAUUUCCAUAUGCCCUGGUCACUUCUACUGCCAUCUCUUCUCUUGAACCUGUGGAGUUGUUGGCUGUGUUAGCCAAACCAUCCCUCUCAGCCCAUCAGACCUCUCAGCUAACACAGCAGAGGGAUCCAAGGAGAGAUUACAAAAUGGCAGGUUCCUGAAUCAGCCUUGGUGUUGAGCAGCAUUCAGCCACAGCCUUGGAUCUCCAGGAUGAAAGUAAAGCAGAGUUCACAUUACUGAUGAAUAACUCAAAAACGGGGUGAAAUUGUCUCACCAAAGCAAAACUGUUAAGGUCAAACUAUUAGAUAACAGCUGAGUUUGUCAAAGAACUGGAGAUCUCUUGGCCCAGCUUGCCAUGGCCAUCUGGCUACAUAGUGCUGCCUUGAUAAUGCCAAUCUUCACCUCCAUCCUCUGGGACGUGGGAGAGGGCAGAAGAGCCAUCAUCCAUCUAUGAGGUUUGGCUGUGGUAAUAAGGAGGCCACUGCAGCCAUGAAUAAUCUUUUUUCCACAGUUUCCACAACCCAUAUGGUGUGAAAAGCUGGACAAGGAUUUGUAAAUGAAUUGAGCCCAAGAGUAAUUACACGUUCCUGCAGAUUACUUGGUGCCGUAAUUGCACUUAGUAUUUACCAUGUGACCUAAGCCAGAAAUAAUCAUGUAUUUACUUUAUAUUUAUAUUGUAACGUGCCAUGUACUGUAAUUAUACUGCCACUCCAUGGUACUUAACACAUCAUUGAAUGUUCCACAAUUAUCAUGUUAGUAAAUAGCACUUACUGAGAUUUGUGGCCUGUAAUUUCAAGCAUUACCUGCUAAAGAUUUAUUGUAGGAAUGUCAAAAAAAUGUUUCUUGACAAUGUAAUUUCAUGUAAAAAAUGUCAAGUCCUAGAACCAACAGGAACCAGUUUUAAAAAUUUCAAAAUUUGAAAAUACAAAAGGAAAUCUAGGUUCAAAAUUAAGGGCUUUUCCAGUAAAGUAAUGAUCACUUCCAUAAAGAAUUCUCCAAAUUUUUCUACUUGAGGUUCCAGAAUAUUAUAAAUUCAAACUGUCAGACUUAUGUGAUUAAAUGAAAGAAUUAAAUCCACCUUGAGACUCUUAAAGAAAAAUGUUUUGGGAGAAGUUAAUAUCCACUCAACCUCUCAUUUAAUUCUGAUUAAAUCUCUGAGUG